Molecule: small nuclear RNA, 153 nt
Gene: U2
Rfam family: U2 spliceosomal RNA
About the family: U2 is a small nuclear RNA (snRNA) component of the spliceosome (involved in pre-mRNA splicing). Complementary binding between U2 snRNA (in an area lying towards the 5' end but 3' to hairpin I) and the branchpoint sequence (BPS) of the intron results the bulging out of an unpaired adenosine, on the BPS, which initiates a nucleophilic attack at the intronic 5' splice site, thus starting the first of two transesterification reactions that mediate splicing.
Source: Ensembl
UAAGCUUCUCUGCCUUUUGGAUAAGAUCAAGUGUAGUAUCUGUUAUUAUCAAUCUAAUAUCUGAUACGUCAUCCAGCGGGGGACUACAUAUUAAGCGGAUUUUUCCACACAUCGACCCAGUAUUGCAGUGCCUCUGUGAGUGGUAAAAGGGGA